This 367-nucleotide ribosomal RNA is filed under the name uncultured bacterium. RNAcentral describes it as "partial 16S ribosomal RNA". It matches the Rfam family "Bacterial small subunit ribosomal RNA", at positions 338 to 702 of the family's 1533-position model. The record is from RNAcentral.
CCUACGGGUGGCAGCAGUGAGGAAUAUUGGUCAAGGGGCGCGAGCCUGAACCAGCCAAGUAGCGUGAAGGAUGACGGCCCUACGGGUUGUAAACUUCUGUUAUAAAGGAAUAAAGUGAGGCACGUGUGCCUUUUUGUAUGUACGUUAUGAAUAAGGAUCGGCUAACUCAGUGCCAGCAGCCGCGGUAAGACGGAGGAUCCGAGCGUUGUCCGGAGUUAUGUGGUUGAAAGGGAGCGUAGAUGGGUUGUUAAGUCAGUUGUGAUAGUUUGCGGCUCAACCGUAAAAUUGCAAUUGAUACUGGCAGUCUUGAGUACAGUUGAGGUAGGCGUCAUUCGUGGUGUAGCCGUUAUAUGCUUAGAUAUCACGA